Manihot esculenta (cassava) is the source of this 1869-nucleotide RNA transcript. RefSeq lists it as uncharacterized. The record is from RefSeq and is a predicted model, not a curated record. NCBI's taxonomy places the organism in Eukaryota, Viridiplantae, Streptophyta, Magnoliopsida, Malpighiales, Euphorbiaceae. The transcript has 13 exons.
UUUUUUCUUUAAAAAAAAAAAAAAUCAGUUUUGAUGAUCCUUUCUGUCUGGAAUUGAUCGAGAGAGCAAUCGAAUCAGUCGCAGGCGACAGUGUGUGGCUAUGGCAGCAGUACUGAGCUACUGCAAGCCUUCGCCAUUUCUCCGCAAAUUUCCAUCUCUCUCCGGAAAACCAUCAACCCAACAAAGAGUCGGCAGUUCAGUUCAUGUGUGCAAAAUCAGUGCACUAUUUUGGGGAUCAAAGAAGUCUGUGGAGCCAAGAUUAUCAGAUUUUUCACAACAGGAUUUCAUUUUAACAGGGUCAGGCUCAGAGGGAGGCUCAGCAAAGCAAGUGGUACCUAAAAAAAUAUCAGUUUCAGUGAUUUCUUCUAUCUCCGAGGUCUCACCAGUUGAAUGGGAUGCAUGCAAUCUGGAUUCCACUGGCCCUGAAAAACUUAAUCCAUUUCUUACCCAUGGUUUUCUUUCGAGCUUAGAAGAGUCAGGUUGUGCUGUGAAGGAAACUGGAUGGAUUCCUAGCCACAUUGUUGCCAAGGAUGAAAGUGAGAAUAUUUUAGGGGUUGUUCCACUUUAUCUUAAAAGCCACUCAUAUGGUGAAUUUGUUUUUGAUCAUUCAUGGGCUGAUGCCUACUAUGGUUUCGGGUCACGAUAUUAUCCAAAGUUCCAAUGCUGUGUGCCUUUCACUCCAGUUACUGGUCCAAGGAUAUUAGUCCGUGAUACCUCAAUCAGAGAUCAAAUUUUUGAUGUUUUAGUUUCUGCCCUAAAGGACAUGACGGUCAAGUCCAAGGUCUCGUCCCUGCACAUUACCUUCCCCUCAGAAACAGAGUGGCAGAAACUGAAGGAAAAAGGAUUUCUGCAGAGGAUUGGAAUGCAGUACCACUGGAAAAAUCGUAAUUAUAAAAGUUUUGAUGACUUCUUGAUGGAUAUGAAGCAAAGUAAAAGGAAAAAUAUUCGUCAGGAACGCAAGAAGAUUUCAGUGCAAAACUUGACUAUGAAACGGCUGCGAGGUUAUGAAAUAAAGGCUCACCAUUGGGAUUCCUUCUAUAACUUCUACAGGAACACCACUGAUAACAAGUGGGGCAGUCCUUAUCUUACAAAAGAUUUCUUUCAUAUCAUGGGAUCAAAGAUGGGAGAUCAGGUAUUACUUGUUAUAGCUGAAGAAGGGGAUGAACUUGUUGCAGGAGCUCUUAAUAUUAUUGGCGGAGAUACCCUGUUCGGGCGGCUGUGGGGAUGUCACCCAAGAGCCUAUUAUCCUAGUUUGCACUUUGAAGCAUGCUAUUACCAGGCUAUAGAAGCAGCCAUUGAACUUAAUCUGAGCACAGUUGAAGCAGGAGCUCAGGGUGAACAUAAAAUUCAGCGAGGUUAUCUUCCCGUGACAACUUACAGCUGCCAUUACCUUGUUGAUGAAGCUUUCAGACAAGCUAUAGGGGAAUUUCUAGUGCGAGAAUCAUCUCAGCCGUGGACUGGUCCGAUGAUGACUCAUUCCUGGCCAAGCUCUUGAACACCUGCCGAACUGGACCGGACCAGCCAGACCUAUAUUGGAGGAAUUACUUAGAAUUUAUGUUUAUAAAAUCUAAGGCCACCAUAUGAGGCUUUAUUUUAUCUAAAAGGUUAAUCUUGUAAUGCAACUAAUUCGUGAUUCGGGUCCCUUUAAGGAGGGUAUACAAUAGACAAGCAAGGUCUUUAUAUGCGUUCUAUAAAAUUACACUUGCAAGAAUUUGUGCAUAUGUAGAACAACAUUUUUGGAGAAAGAAAAAGAUAGAUAAAUUAUUUAAGAAAACUUUCCUCAAAACGGAUCUAUAUUCUUUAAUCUGUGGUACUGUUGGUCUAAUAGCAAGCUUUAAUAAGAUCAUUUAUAUAACUAUUUCUUUUGAA